Molecule: ribosomal RNA, 835 nt
Filed under: uncultured Staphylococcus sp.
Lineage: Bacteria; Bacillati; Bacillota; Bacilli; Caryophanales; Staphylococcaceae
Description: bacterial SSU rRNA
Rfam family: Bacterial small subunit ribosomal RNA
Source: RNAcentral
GAGCUUGCUCCUCUGACGUUAGCGGCGGACGGGUGAGUAACACGUGGAUAACCUACCUAUAAGACUGGUAUAACUUCGGGAAACCGGAGCUAAUACCGGAUAAUAUAUUGAACCGCAUGGUUCAAUAGUGAAAGACGGUUUUGCUGUCACUUAUAGAUGGAUCCGCGCCGCAUUAGCUAGUUGGUAAGGUAACGGCUUACCAAGGCAACGAUGCGUAGCCGACCUGAGAGGGUGAUCGGCCACACUGGAACUGAGACACGGUCCAGACUCCUACGGGAGGCAGCAGUAGGGAAUCUUCCGCAAUGGGCGAAAGCUUGACGGAGCAACGCCGCGUGAGUGAUGAAGGUCUUCGGAUCGUAAAACUCUGUUAUUAGGGAAGAACAAAUGUGUAAGUGACUAUGCACGUCUUGACGGUACCUAAUCAGAAAGCCACGGCUAACUACGUGCCAGCAGCCGCGGUAAUACGUAGGUGGCAAGCGUUACCCGGAAUUAUUGGGCGUAAAGCGCGCGUAGGCGGUUUUUUAAGUCUGAUGUGAAAGCCCACGGCUCAACCGUGGAGGGUCAUUGGAAACUGGAAAACUUGAGCGCAGAAGAGGAAAGUGGAAUUCCAUGUGUAGCGGUGAAAUGCGCAGAGAUAUGGAGGAACACCAGUGGCGAAGGCGACUUUCUGGUCUGUAACUGACGCUGAUGUGCGAAAGCGUGGGGAUCAAACAGGAUUAGAUACCUGGUAGUCCACGCCGUAAACGAUGAGUGCUAAGUGUUAGGGGGUUUCCGCCCCUUAGUGCUGCAGCUAACGCAUUAAGCACUCCGCCUGGGGAGUACGACCGCAAGGUUG